GCCGAAUUUGCUGAGACUGCUUGCAUUUUUACCACUGGACAAAGACUGAUUACUUCUAUACAAUAAUAAUAAGGACAAGUGCUUGUGGCAGCUGUCUUCUCUGAACAGCAGUCUCGUGAACACCGGCCUCAGUACACUGAAGAUCUAAGAAAACACUUCACACCCUACAACCCCUACAAAUAACCCAGAUUUGACAGCAGUGCACACCCAUCUGAGGCCGACCUGUUUUACUUCAUGAUCACCCCAGAUACUUCUACAACUAACCCGCUUUGGUAGUACUGCAAAGAACAGUCUCCAGGGUCUACCUCAGCCAUUUGCUUCCGGACUGCCAUGUGCUAUGUUUGGAUCACUGGUACAGUACAUUUGGAUUACCCUAAUACUGUGAAGAACACUUACAGUGUGAUGCUUGACUUGAGACAGG
This is a long non-coding RNA of Sinocyclocheilus anshuiensis, 421 nucleotides long. RefSeq lists it as uncharacterized. The transcript is spliced from 5 exons. Lineage: Eukaryota; Metazoa; Chordata; Actinopteri; Cypriniformes; Cyprinidae. The record is from RefSeq and is a predicted model, not a curated record.